This 301-nucleotide ribosomal RNA is filed under the name uncultured bacterium. RNAcentral's name for it is "partial 16S ribosomal RNA". It matches the Rfam family "Bacterial small subunit ribosomal RNA", at positions 509 to 809 of the family's 1533-position model. The record is from RNAcentral.
CAGCCGCCGCGGUAAUACGUAGGGUGCAAGCGUUAAUCGGAAUUACUGGGCGUAAAGCGUGCGCAGGCGGUUAUAUAAGACAGAUGUGAAAUCCCCGGGCUCAACCUGGGAACUGCAUUUGUGACUGUAUAGCUAGAGUACGGCAGAGGGGGAUGGAAUUCCGCGUGUAGCAGUGAAAUGCGUAGAUAUGCGGAGGAACACCGAUGGCGAAGGCAAUCCCCUGGGCCUGUACUGACGCUCAUGCACGAAAGCGUGGGGAGCAAACAGGAUUAGAUACCCGCGUAGUCCCUGUCUCUUAUAA